AGAAAUGAGAGAGAGGGAACGUGAAGAGGAGAGAGCGAGUGUGAAAGGGAAAGAGAGCGUGAGGGAGAGAGAAAAGAUCAUGCAAGCAGGAAGAACACGGAGCCAGCCGGUAUGAGCCAUUAGUCAAAGUUGCGGUCAUUAGGAAUGAUCUCCACGCCAACUCGCACCACGGCCACGGUCAGCCCUCUCACCCCGCUAGCCAAUGGCAGUGUGGCUGCUCAGUCUGCUCACUCUGGAUUCGCUGCCGCCCUCCGUCAAUUGGCCAAACAGGCUGAAGAUCCCAGAGGUUCUUCUCCCAGUAGUGAGUCUUCAGUCUCCUCUCCAGCCACCUGUCUCAGUAAUUCAGUCACCACUCCUAAGAGGGGGUUGUCAGGGCCACUCCAGACCUCAAGUGGGGUAGACAGCCUUCCCACCACCCCUCCUGUAGUCACCAUCGCCCCAAUUCACAGCAAGACCAGCAACAUUCUCUGGAUAGGAGAAGGGCACCAGGUAAGAAGAAACGGUCCCGC
Molecule: non-coding RNA, 509 nt
Organism: Salvelinus sp. IW2-2015
Lineage: Eukaryota; Metazoa; Chordata; Actinopteri; Salmoniformes; Salmonidae
Source: RefSeq, a predicted model, not a curated record